UACGUAGGUGGCGAGCGUUGUCCGGAUUUACUGGGCGUAAAGGGCGUGCAGGCGGUUUGUUAAGUGCAGGGUGAAAGCUCCCGGCUCAACUGGGAGAGGUCCUUGCAUACUGGCGAACUCGAGGGAGGCAGAGGAAAGUGGAAUUCCCGGUGUAGUGGUGAUAUGCGUAGAUAUCGGGAGGAACACCUGUGGCGAAGGCGGCUUCUGGGCCUUACCUGACGCUGAGACGCGAAGCGUGGGAG
This 242-nucleotide ribosomal RNA is filed under the name uncultured bacterium. RNAcentral describes it as "partial 16S ribosomal RNA". It matches the Rfam family "Bacterial small subunit ribosomal RNA", at positions 524 to 767 of the family's 1533-position model. The record is from RNAcentral.